AUUGGAGGGGCUCUUUUCGUUGUCACUGCCUAUGUAUUUAUAGGGCUGAUGUACUUGCUUGGCACGGCCUGAACGAUAAGCAGAGGAUUUCAAUUGCACCUAAAGACGUGUAAUGGAAUAUUCUGAAAAAUAAAACAAUGACCACAUAGGGUUCAAUUGCACUUAAUCCUCUUCUAUUCCAACUUUGACUUUACUUUAUCCCAUCAUUGAAUUUGUUGGAUAGUCACACACGGUUCUUUUCACAUCCAAAACAAUCACCUUGUUUUUCUCAAUGCCCAUAUGCCUCACACAUUACAAACACCUACCAAUUUGCUACUCGAACUUAUCCCACCUGCAGGUUACCUAUGCAUGCAUAAAGACCAUGCAUCCAACUACUAUAAUCAAACCCCAUGCUGAUAUAUUCAGCCGCAACUAUGCAUGAAGGCCAUAUGACAAGAUGGAACCUAACUACAAUCUUGUUGGAUAAAAAUCUAUUUGUUGAUGUACUUAAACUCCAAGACAACUAUGCAUGAACACCGAACUGAUUCUGUAAAAUCGGGUCCAAACACCUACAUACAAUCUUAAUUAAUUUUUGGACUUGGAUGUGUGGCUGAGAUGGUCUGGUGUGUACACCCACCAAUUUUACUUCAAGAUACUCUAAUCGAGGAUGUUUCUUAAUUAGUUAUUGUUUUUUGUAAUGUUUGGAGGAUGGUUAUAUUGUUCAUUGUUUAUACCAUAUUUAGGGCCUCCGUAUUUAGAUCUCGUACAAAUACUCAGGGGACUUAAAUGUAAUUAUGUAAUAAAGGAAGGGGAAAAUAUGUAAUAAGUGAGGAGCCCUUAUUCUAUAAAAGGACUCUUCACCCUAACAAUUAGGAGAGGUCAAUUUCUUAGGCCAUGGAAGGGCUCUCUCACCCUCAGAAGCUUCCUCCAUCUCUCUCCCUCACAAACAGAGAAAUAAUAAUCAGUGUGGACGUAGCCCAAACCUUGAGGUGAACCACGAUACAUCUUGUGUUAUUUACAUUUCAUGCAGAUUCACAGUUGGAUUUACGUUGUUUCAAGACUUCCAGUUUUGUGCAUCAACAUUUGGCGCCGUCUGUGGGAAACGACACGAAAAGCUGUGUCGGUUCUCUUUCAUUUUUUUCACCUCCGCCGCGAAUCUGCGCCAGCUUUCAUUUUUUGAUUUCUGUCUGGACCAGGAGAGAGAGAUCCUUUCCACUGUGUUUUUCCCAUAUCCCGUAUAAAACAAGCAAACUUUAAUUCAAUACUUGAGUUUUCAAAGAUGGCAACAGCAACCCAAAUCCAGGAAGUGGUGCUUGACUCCUCCGCCGGCCCCAAGAGCAUGCCCGUGCUCAC
This 1332-nucleotide long non-coding RNA is filed under the name Malus domestica (apple). Its description in RNAcentral is "long non-coding RNA (MDOM_LNC003645)". Lineage: Eukaryota; Viridiplantae; Streptophyta; Magnoliopsida; Rosales; Rosaceae. The record is from RNAcentral.